UCUCCUCCGACUUAUCUCAAAGGACAGAGAAGGACUUCCUUGCCUGAAGAAGAAAAACGAAAGCGGUAUAAGCUUUUUUUGUAGCAUUUAGGAUCUGGAUUUCAUCAUAUAAUAAAUUGAACAAUUUUCUUUUAUUUUGCCUGAAAAGUCAAACCAAUCCAGGUCACGAUUCUUAAUUAUGAACUAGGUUCAAACUGAAACCCAGCUGGCCAUUACCGGCAUCUAUGACACAUUAUGUCCUUGUGUGUAUACUGUCACGUUUACUCAUGUUCAUCUGCACAGCAAAUGAGUGGAAGAGGAGUCACCAGUCAUGCUCUGGAACUGAAGACUAUCCUACUCUGACUGUACAGUUUGGUAGACCAUGGGCAUGGUCUUGCUGUAUUAUUCAGACUGGCCCCUGAUGUAGUCUAGGCUGGCUUUGAACUUGAGACGAUCCUCUUGCCUUAGCCUCCUGAGUGCUGGGACUACGGAACACAGCAAACGGAGUCUCCAGGUGCUCUGUGGGACGCCCAAGUCCCACUCAAAGCACUCUACAGGAAACCCAUGAGCAACACACCUUGGAUUUCCAAGACACAGAUCUCCCUAGAAUUUGGAAGAGGACUUGCUUUGAUGACUUCUGGUUGGUGGAGACAGCAAUGUGAACUGUGCUCAAGGGUCCAUGCAAUGACCACUUCACCAAAUCCCAAUCACAUCCCCACAUCCUUCUAGUCUUAGAGGGAAUACCUGAUGGUGAACUCCAGAGCCAACAGCCAGUCAAACAGCAAUGUCUACUGUUUGACUCUGACUUAGGAGGAAAGUUUCCACCAGCUUUCUGAUGGCCACAGAUAGGAAAUCAGUGAUAAAAUCAGUGGCAGAACCUGCUUUGGAUGAGUGGAUAAUGAUACAAGAUGUGAGAGAGAUUUUUGGACGGAGCAAGGAGGGGAAGCAUAGAAAGAGCCACGUGGGCUAUUUGAGCAUUGGUUGGUGUCUUAGUUACUUUUCACUCAUUGCUGAGACAAAAUACCUGAAGCCCAAGGCUGGGAAAGGAAAGGUUUAUUUCUUACAGUUUUUGGAGGUUUCAGUCCAUACUCAGUUGGCUCCAAGACGAGCAGGCAUGGCUGGGCUGCAGUUCAUGGCGGCCGCCAACAGCAAACUCAAACCAGCAAAGAGAAAAACACACCUUCUUCCUGCCAUUACAUCACAUCCUGGCUCCACCCCUAUGUGGGUGGAGCACUGACACCAUCAAUCCAAGCACUAUACAAUGAACCAUCACAAAUGAACAAUGCAAACUCAUGAGGCCUGGGGGACACAAACAUAAACCAUGACAUUUGGUGUCUUAGGCCACUUUGUGCUACUAUAACAGAACAUCACAGACCGGCUGAUGAACAGAGCAGAAAUUCAUCAGCUCAUGAUUCUGGUGGCUACAAAGACCAAGAGACUGACAUAUACAGAGGACCUUCUUGCUAUGCUAGAACAUAGCAGAAGGCAUCAGAUGGAGGAAGGACAAAGGCAGGCUGAGAGGCAGAGGCUAAGGGGAGCCAAGCUUUUAUAAGGCAUUCACUCCUGCCUUGAUGGCACUCAUCCAUUCCCUCCAUCCUCAUGGUAUAAUCAUUUUUCACUGCACGUUGCUUCCUAACUCCGUUGCAUCAGGAGUUGUUCUCAACACAUGGGUUUUGGGGACACAUGCAGCCCAUAGUUGUUGAUAGCUUUGAAGGCUGUGACUGAAGGGGAGGAAGUGGAAACGGCUGAGGAUCAACAGGCCCUGACAAUUAGUGAGGUCAGAACUCUCGGAGGAGGAUGUUGACUAAAGGAGACACUGGAGGGCUCCCCUGGCUGGAGCUCAGGACUAUUUUUAGGUGUUGUUAUGGCCACAGCAGACACAGCUGGGUAAAGCUAGCCUCCCAAGGGGGCUCAGGACUUAGCUGAUUGCAGGAUGAUUGGGACAGAGCAGAACUCACUGAAGUCUUAUCUUCCACUAUGAGAGAUAUCCCAAGGCAAAAUCUAAGAUAUGUAUUAGGAAAACAAAUAUUUGAGCUCAUAUCAAGAUGGAAGAAGUGUAGAAAUAUCUGGUCAAAUGACUAAGAACUCUUGAAUUAUACAAAAAGUCACAUUUUCCUCCAAGAGCUCUGAAGGAAAUCAACAGUAAUAAACAUACAUGUAGCUCCUACUAGGCCUGCUAAAACAUUGAAUGUUGAGGUUUAUUAGCUUCUUAGUUGUCCUAAAAGAUGUCAUGUGGCAUGAUGUGGGGGGGUCCUCAGCUGGGGAAUCCAUGUGAUUCUUUGGGCCAAAACCUGCACCCAUGAAUAUGGAGAAGUCCCCAGAACACUGGUAGGGGACAAAAUUAGAAAAGAUAGAAAGUAUCUUGGCUGACUUGCUGGGUGAUUGCUUGUUCAGUCAUUCAUUCAACGUGCAUUGAGACUUGUUGCAGGGUGUGCCCACUUUCAGCUUUAAGGAUGAUGCCAAGGUGGCUUCAGUGGCACGUGUAUUUACACUCCUGUGGUAAGAGACAUAGAUCUCCCCAGUUCUCAUCAUCCCAACACUUGGUCUUUGUAGACUCUUUGAUGUUUGACUUUUAAAUAAUUUUAUAACAGACAUACCUGUAUGUCUUCAAUUGUACUUGUCAAUUUUCUUAUAGAUGUAUGACCAGAUGUGUAUAAGAUGUCUACACAGCCUGCUCAUUACAGCAAAAAAGCCAGGGAUCACACAAAUGGUGAACACUGUGCAUUAUUCAUGCUGCUGUCUUACACAGCAGAGAAAGUGAAAGGGUUCCUACUACAGGUAACAACAGGGAUGAACAAGCCUGACUAAAAAAAUGCAAAUUCUAGGAGAAUACAAACUGUAACUUUAUAAAGUUCAAAAAUAAGUUGUUUGGGGAGUGGUCAGGGAUAUAGCUCAGUGGCACAGUACCUGCCUGGCAAACAUGAGGUCCUGAGGUCGAUUCCCAGUACCCCCCUAAAAAAGUUGUGUAGGCGUAAGCUGUUUACACCUAAUAUUUAUUUUUCUUGUGGUUAAGAAAUGAGAAAAAGAAAAUUCGUGAUGGAGGUCAUCUCAGGGUGGAUGGGUAGAUAAAGGAACAAGAGUUGAAGUUACCAACCAGGUUCUCAUUCAUGGAUCAGGUAGUCACCAGAGAUUAUUAUAAAAAUAAAUAAAGUCAAGGAGAAAACCAAAGAGUGCUAUUCAUGGGUUACUGCUGAUGCUGUUUCAUGAACCCAGGAGAAAGAAGACUCGAAUUCUGUGUGAAUGCAAAAAGAUGGGAUCAAACUGAUAUUGAGUUUGGAGAGCCAGGCUUGAUGGCCCACAUUUAUUCUGCAGUAGCAAGCAACCCUCUCUUUGGUGAGUCACAGCCUCAGAGUUGUUUUUCCCUAGAUUGUAUGCCAACCGCGCACCCACAGAGGGCCCACAGAAUGCCAACCUCACGGGUGUUGCUGGUUACUGAUCUUCUUGCCAUUCAAUAGAGUCCCAGCCGAUUUUCCUUUAACUUAGUCUAGGCCUGCCUUCAGUGAAUGGAAGGGACUUGAGAAGGUGUAGCUAUGGGGAAUACUAAAUACAGGCCCACAUAAGAUGUUAGGAUUGAAAGUUUAGGUUCAAGUACUACUAGAUACAUCCAGUGUCUCAUGAUGUUUUAUUCAUAGAGAUAAUCAUGCUCUCCUAGGCACUGCAGUUAUAAUUUCCAUAGUCCAUAUGGAAAUACCCAGCUCUGGUUAUACUGAAUAAAGGAUUUUUCAGUGGUAGUUUUCAUCAAAUACUUUUGAAAUGAUGCAUUAUUCUUUAGCACAGUAUCUGGGCAUAGUCAGUGUUGUAGUCAGGGGUUGUGCAGAGAACAAUUAGAAUCAGGACAUGGAGUUUAUAAUAUUAUUUUUAUAAUAGUCACUGGGAGUUAACAUAAGAAAAUGCAGGAAAUCUAUCUGAAACACCAAAAACACAGAAUAUUUAGUCAAGGGCUUGAAUCCCACAGCAAUGUCCCACAUGAGUCCAGAUGAAAACUCAGAGCUCAUGACAGUUCCUCCCAUGAGUCCAGCUGGAGGUCCAGAGCCCACAAGGACUCACACCAGUCUCUUUUAUGGAUCCGUGCUGGGAAGGCCCAAAGGUCAGCAGUGGAGGCCAGAAAGUCCAUGCUAGCAGGGUGAAGGAGCUGUGCUGGUGGGAUGAGGGUUCUACCCUGGAGCCGAGAAGUCACACUCACAACAAAGACCAGGGCUGUCCUGAAAGGCACCACAGCCAUCCUCAGUGCCAUGGGGGCCCCAAGCUCUGACAACGGUAAGCACAGUCAAGUAUACGCCAGCAAGCCAACAUGAGGAGUUCAUCCUGGAGACCAAGCGGCACAUGUCUUCCCCUCCAAAGCCAGGAAGCAAGCCUCAAUGCCAGGACCAGAGCUUCUCCAGGAGAACCAAUGGCUCAAACAGCAACUCAUAGGAGAACCCACAAUGCCUCAAUGCCUCAAUGCAUUAACGCCUUCUUUUUUCUUCUCCACCUCUCUAUUUAUGCUGGCAACUUUCCUCAGGUGGAGCAUCUUCGCUCAGUGCCAUGCUGAUGUAAUCCAGCUGGUGUUAAGUUGACCACCAGUUCUUAAUCCAUACC
Long non-coding RNA from Cavia porcellus (domestic guinea pig), 4557 nucleotides. RefSeq lists it as uncharacterized. The record is from RefSeq and is a predicted model, not a curated record. The transcript has 3 exons. Lineage: Eukaryota; Metazoa; Chordata; Mammalia; Rodentia; Caviidae.